UACGGAGGGUGCAAGCGUUAAUCGGAAUUACUGGGCGUAAAGCGCACGCAGGCGGUUAAUUAAGUUAGAUGUGAAAUCCCCUGGGCUUAACCUGGGAAUGGCAUCUAAAACUGGUUAGCUAGAGUCUUGUAGAGGGGGGUAGAAUUCCAUGUGUAGCGGUGAAAUGCGUAGAGAUGUGGAGGAAUACCGGUGGCGAAGGCGGCCCCCUGGACAAAGACUGACGCUCAGGUGCGAAAGCGUGGGGAGCAAACAGG
Molecule: ribosomal RNA, 254 nt
Filed under: uncultured Providencia sp.
Lineage: Bacteria; Pseudomonadati; Pseudomonadota; Gammaproteobacteria; Enterobacterales; Morganellaceae
Description: partial 16S ribosomal RNA
Rfam family: Bacterial small subunit ribosomal RNA
Source: RNAcentral